AAUUAAAAAAAAAAAAUUUAAAAAGCCUCAUCAAAUUAUUUCCAAGAUACAGUUCCAUGACCCAUGAAAUAUCCCAAAAAGGCCCACAAAGAAAAGUUCCCUUGUUUCCAAAAAGAUGAAGGUACCUGUGCUUAAGCACAAGGUACAAGCACUUUAAGCUAUAUGUAUACAUAUAUGAUAUAUCUUCAUCUUUAAAGACGGAAAAUUAUCCCUGUUAUUAUAUCUUUAACCUGUUUAAUAUGGGUCUUAAUUAAUGAUGAAUUAUAAUUAUCUGCAGGACAAAGCUGAAGCAAACUGA
This 298-nucleotide unclassified non-coding RNA is filed under the name Hevea brasiliensis (rubber tree). Lineage: Eukaryota; Viridiplantae; Streptophyta; Magnoliopsida; Malpighiales; Euphorbiaceae. The record is from RNAcentral.